UACGUAGGGGGCAAGCGUUGUCCGGAAUCAUUGGGCGUAAAGCGCGUGUAGGCGGCCAGAAAAGUCCGCUGUGAAAACUCGAGGCUCAACUUCGAGCUGUCGGUGGAAACUUUCUGGCUAGAGUCCGGAAGAGGAGAAUGGAAUUCCUGGUGUAGCGGUGAAAUGCGCAGAUAUCAGGAGGAACACCCGUGGCGAAAGCGGCUCUCUGGGACGGUACUGACGCUGAGACGCGAAAGCGUGGGGAGCAAACAGG
Molecule: ribosomal RNA, 253 nt
Filed under: uncultured bacterium
Lineage: Bacteria
Description: partial 16S ribosomal RNA
Rfam family: Bacterial small subunit ribosomal RNA
Source: RNAcentral